GAUGAACGCUAGCUACAGGCUUAACACAUGCAAGUCGAGGGGAGACGAUAUUGGAAGCUUGCUUCCGAUAGGCGUCGACCGGCGCACGGGUGAGUAACGCGUAUCCAACCUGCCCACCACUUGGGGAUAACCUUGCGAAAGUAAGACUAAUACCCAAUGACGUCCAUAGAAGACAUCUGAAAUGGAUUAAAGAUUUAUCGGUAAUGGAUGGGGAUGCGUCUGAUCAGCUUGUUGGCGGGGUAACGGCCCACCAAGGCGACGAUCAGUAGGGGUUCUGAGAGGAAGGUCCCCCACAUUGGAACUGAGACACGGUCCAAACUCCUACGGGAGGCAGCAGUGAGGAAUAUUGGUCAAUGGGCGAGAGCCUGAACCAGCCAAGUAGCGUGCAGGAUGACGGCCCUAUGGGUUGUAAACUGCUUUUAUAAGGGAAUAAAGUGAGUCUCGUGAGACUUUUUGCAUGUACCUUAUGAAUAAGGACCGGCUAAUUCCGUGCCAGCCGCCGCAGUAA
This 508-nucleotide ribosomal RNA is filed under the name uncultured bacterium. Its description in RNAcentral is "partial 16S ribosomal RNA". It matches the Rfam family "Bacterial small subunit ribosomal RNA", at positions 28 to 523 of the family's 1533-position model. The record is from RNAcentral.